Molecule: unclassified non-coding RNA, 335 nt
Filed under: soil metagenome
Description: partial contains 5.8S ribosomal RNA, internal transcribed spacer 2, and large subunit ribosomal RNA
Rfam family: 5.8S ribosomal RNA (bases 1-120)
Source: RNAcentral
GAUGAAGAACGUAGUGAAAUGCGAUAAGUAGUGUGAAUUGCGGAAUUCAGUGAAUCAUCGAAUCUUUGAACGCACAUUGCGCCCCUUGGUAUUCCAUGGGGCAUGCCUGUUCGAGCGUCAUUUGUACCUUCAAGCUCUGCUUGGUGUUGGGUGUUUGUCCUUGCUCUAGUGGCGGGACUCGCCUUAAAGUAAUUGGCAGCCAGUGUUUUGGUUUUGAAGCGCAGCACAAGUCGCGAUUCAAGUCUAUACGCUAGUUUCCACAAGUCUUUUAUCACUUUUGACCUCGGAUCAGGUAGGGAUACCCGCUGAACUUAAGCAUAUCAAUAAGCGGAGGA